GACAUUAGAGAGCAGACGGACCGCUCUGAGUCCAUGUAGACCUGACCUCCAUCAUGUCCAUCAACGUGACUCUGAAGAGGAUCCUCAACCUGCCGGGGCGGCACGACAGGAAGGUCCAGCUCAGCUUCAGAGGUUUCACCUACAAAACCAGGAUCCUGCAGUGUGAGAAUGUGGCCAUCUUCAACGAGGUCGGUGACGUUCUCCUCCCAUCGUUUUGCUGUGUGUGCAUGUGUCUGUGUUCCUGAAAUGCUUUCAUGGAUCUGAUAAGACCGUUUCCCUCCUUCAGAGCACACACACACACACCCACACACUCGUUUCCAGAGUUGAAGGUUCUUGUUUACCGUCCCAGGUUUGUUCUAAGGUGUUGAACAGGUUAAACCACAAGUGUCAAAGUCAAGGCCCGGGGGCCGGAUCCGGCCCUCCGGACCAUUUUAUUUUAUUGUUAUUAAUUGCUCUCAUUUCUAAUUUGUAUAAUUUUGACAAAAUAUUUUUUUGUGGAGAGUCAAAUAUAGACAAUUAUUUAAGGUUUAAGUUGAUUUAUUCUGGAAUAAUAUUCCUGCCUUUUUAUUAUUCAUAAUUAUGAUAAAAAGUUAUGGUUUUAAAGUAAAAAAAAAA
RNAcentral lists this long non-coding RNA (615 nucleotides) under Oryzias javanicus (javanese ricefish). RNAcentral describes it as "lncRNA (ENSOJAG00000000777.1)". The record is from RNAcentral. Lineage: Eukaryota; Metazoa; Chordata; Actinopteri; Beloniformes; Adrianichthyidae.